UCUAGGGGUGGGCUGGCAAGUUUCCAAAGAGGAGUAGGAAGCCUCUAGGAGACUUGGGUUGCGACUCUACUGCAGACUCCUGACCAUGCAUGGAUACUGAGGGACUCUUUUUCUGUCAAAAAAGGAGUAUGAAACGAAGACGGAAUCGGGCACUAAGACUUUCCAAACUUAAUCGUUAAUCAAUUGUCUUUUUUUUCACCCCCUUUUUCUCCUAUAUAAACCCACCACCGUCCCCUUUUUCUCCUGUAUAAACCCACCACCGUCUCUCAAAAAUCUUAGAGAGAGAGAGAGAGGUAGCAUGGAGUCUGUGACGAGAGUGAAGGGCGAGGGGAAGGGUCGGCAGGGGUCGGUCGUUGGCC
RNAcentral lists this long non-coding RNA (359 nucleotides) under Elaeis guineensis (African oil palm). RNAcentral's name for it is "long non-coding RNA (EGUI_LNC079649)". The record is from RNAcentral. Lineage: Eukaryota; Viridiplantae; Streptophyta; Magnoliopsida; Arecales; Arecaceae.